GGAGCCCAAUGUGAACUAUUUCUUCUACUUGAGGGCUGUCAACCCAUUUAGGACAAGUGAACAAACUGAAGCUGCUCUCAUCUCAACUAAAGAUUCUCAGAACCGAUGUUUCUUUGUUGUGAAUUGUACCAGGAACUCGAUUUCACCUACUGAAUGACACAGCCCAUCCCACUUUGCAAAUCUCCCCUGAUGCAACUGUGAUCCGCCUUCCCAAGAAAGCCAAAUUCACUGGGUUUCCUUCAAUCCUGGGUGAACUGCUGCCUGCUCGGGGACAUCAUUACUGGGAAACCGUUGUCUCUGCCUGCAGAAGCUAUAGGAUUGGGAUUUGCUAUGAGGCAACAUCAUGGAGCAGUGUCCUGGGGCUGAGUGAUACUUCCUGGUGCAUGCGCUGCUGUCCUACACAAACCAGGCUCAUAUCCUGAACUACUUCACAAAAUCCCAGCAAGCGUAUUUAUGUCUGUAAAUGCAAUCCUUUCAGAAUCUAUUUCCAGCUCCAGGAGACUUCAAGCCUCCAUAGAGAAUGCCUUCUACUGCCUUGUCCUUCACAGCAACAGGCACCCAUCUGCCACUGUGGCAGGACUGCAGGGCACUGGGGUAGUCUUCAGCAGGCCAGUGCCAGGCAAUUUGGAGGUUUGUAAGUCAUAACCCUGUUAAUGGUGUAAAGGUGCUCUUCAUCUAAACAAGUGUGUUUUUUUAGUGUGAAAUCAUAUGGAUGCAUGAACAUAACUAACUAAACAAAACGUCUGAGAUGCAAAGGGUUUUACUAAAGCACAGCUCAUGCUUAAAUCCCCAAAAAGACAUGUAAUAAGAAAGGUAUAGAUGAAUAUGAUUACAGCAAGUCUGCUUUUAUUCAGAGCACCCAAAGAUGCUGAGUGAAAGGGCUCAUAGGUGUGCCAGGCAGGGCUUUGAAGCAAUGCCACAUUUGCUCAGGUAGGAGGGUUACGUACUGAGCAAAAUUCUGUUGCCACGUGAUACACUGCUGUAUGCGGCAACCUGUUAAUAGGUGGGAAUUAAGCGGUACGUUAUUUCUGGUAAAUCACCAUGAGGAAGCUCACUGUAUUCUGGUUUCCAUUUUCCUGCAGCUUUCUUUACAGAUGUCUUCACAUCAGUAUGAUGAGUGAUGUCCAUAUGACAGAACACCCAGCCAGGAUCGGCAUCCUGUUGGAUUACAGUGAUGGCAGACUGUUGUUCUUCAAUGCAGAGAGAGGACUGGUGCUGUUCACCAUCAGAUACAAAUUUACUGAUGCUGCUCACCCAACCUUUGCCCUGGAGAAGGCUGAAGCGCUUACCCUGUGCACGGGAAUGGAGCUGCCGGAGUUUGUGAAGCACGGCAUUAGCUGUGCUUCACACUCUCAGGAAAACUGACAAUUACAGCAUCGGGGG
This is a long non-coding RNA of Aquila chrysaetos chrysaetos, 1383 nucleotides long. RefSeq lists it as uncharacterized. The transcript is spliced from 4 exons. Lineage: Eukaryota; Metazoa; Chordata; Aves; Accipitriformes; Accipitridae. The record is from RefSeq and is a predicted model, not a curated record.